AAACGUAGGAGGCAAGCGUUGUCCGGAUUUACUGGGCGUAAAGGGAGCGCAGGUGGCUCAUCAAGUCUGGGGUGAAAUCUCCCGGCUCAACCGGGAGGGGUCUCUGGAUACUGAUGGGCUUGAGGGAAGCAGAGGAGAGCGGAAUUCCCGGUGUAGCGGUGAUAUGCGUAGAUAUCGGGAGGAACACCAGUGGCGAAGGCGGCUCUCUGGGCUUUUCCUGACGCUGAGGCUCGAAAGCGUGGGGAGCAAACCGGAUUAGAAACCCGAGUAGUCC
This 274-nucleotide ribosomal RNA is filed under the name uncultured bacterium. Its description in RNAcentral is "partial 16S ribosomal RNA". It matches the Rfam family "Bacterial small subunit ribosomal RNA", at positions 523 to 796 of the family's 1533-position model. The record is from RNAcentral.